RNAcentral lists this ribosomal RNA (1038 nucleotides) under Vibrio parahaemolyticus S109. RNAcentral describes it as "bacterial SSU rRNA". It matches the Rfam family "Bacterial small subunit ribosomal RNA", at positions 483 to 1520 of the family's 1533-position model. The record is from RNAcentral. Lineage: Bacteria; Pseudomonadati; Pseudomonadota; Gammaproteobacteria; Vibrionales; Vibrionaceae.
AGAAGAAGCACCGGCUAACUCCGUGCCAGCAGCCGCGGUAAUACGGAGGGUGCGAGCGUUAAUCGGAAUUACUGGGCGUAAAGCGCAUGCAGGUGGUUUGUUAAGUCAGAUGUGAAAGCCCGGGGCUCAACCUCGGAAUUGCAUUUGAAACUGGCAGACUAGAGUACUGUAGAGGGGGGUAGAAUUUCAGGUGUAGCGGUGAAAUGCGUAGAGAUCUGAAGGAAUACCGGUGGCGAAGGCGGCCCCCUGGACAGAUACUGACACUCAGAUGCGAAAGCGUGGGGAGCAAACAGGAUUAGAUACCCUGGUAGUCCACGCCGUAAACGAUGUCUACUUGGAGGUUGUGGCCUUGAGCCGUGGCUUUCGGAGCUAACGCGUUAAGUAGACCGCCUGGGGAGUACGGUCGCAAGAUUAAAACUCAAAUGAAUUGACGGGGGCCCGCACAAGCGGUGGAGCAUGUGGUUUAAUUCGAUGCAACGCGAAGAACCUUACCUACUCUUGACAUCCAGAGAACUUUCCAGAGAUGGAUUGGUGCCUUCGGGAACUCUGAGACAGGUGCUGCAUGGCUGUCGUCAGCUCGUGUUGUGAAAUGUUGGGUUAAGUCCCGCAACGAGCGCAACCCUUAUCCUUGUUUGCCAGCGAGUAAUGUCGGGAACUCCAGGGAGACUGCCGGUGAUAAACCGGAGGAAGGUGGGGACGACGUCAAGUCAUCAUGGCCCUUACGAGUAGGGCUACACACGUGCUACAAUGGCGCAUACAGAGGGCGGCCAACUUGCGAAAGUGAGCGAAUCCCAAAAAGUGCGUCGUAGUCCGGAUUGGAGUCUGCAACUCGACUCCAUGAAGUCGGAAUCGCUAGUAAUCGUGGAUCAGAAUGCCACGGUGAAUACGUUCCCGGGCCUUGUACACACCGCCCGUCACACCAUGGGAGUGGGCUGCAAAAGAAGUAGGUAGUUUAACCUUCGGGGGGACGCUUACCACUUUGUGGUUCAUGACUGGGGUGAAGUCGUAACAAGGUAGCGCUAGGGGAACCUGGCGCUG